UUAAAAGAUCACAAACGUUUAAUUUAAUUUACUCUGAAACUAAAACAUCGAUAGUUUAAAUUAAAAUAUUAAAAUAUUCACUUUACUGUCACAUUAGAGUUAGAGUUAGUUAAGAACCUGGUUUAAAGGUUUAAGGUUCUUCUAUAAAGAGAACAUGAACAUAAAGGAGUUUAUGUCCACAUGCUUUGGUCCAUGUGCUGCACACGGUCUCCAUGGUUACUAGAUGAUCGGUCUCCAUGGUUACUAGAUGAUCGGUCUCCAUGGUUACUAGAUGAUGUUUUGCACUCGUGUCUCAGGACUUCACUGAUGCCUUUACCCAGUUACAGCUUAAAGGAGCGUUUUAGCUUAGCAUGUUAGCAUCUCCUGCCAUCGGAGAACAUUAGCCCUUAGCUUAGCAUGUUAGCGUCUCCUGCCAUCGCAGAACAUUAGCCCUUAGCUUAGCAUGUUAGCUUAAAUGGCAAACCUCCCUGACACUUAAUUUUCCUUCUGGGUGAACCUCACGUAAAGUUAACGUCUGGAGGGUUCUAUGGGGUUCUGCAGGGUUCUGGAAGGUUCUGCAGGGUUCUGCAGGGUCAACUAUGCGCUCUGAUUUAAACUGAGUUUUUAUUUCUUUUGUUAAAAUGUUCUGAAAUAAAACCGAAGAAUUUAA
This is a long non-coding RNA of Scomber japonicus (chub mackerel), 649 nucleotides long. RefSeq lists it as uncharacterized. The record is from RefSeq and is a predicted model, not a curated record. NCBI's taxonomy places the organism in Eukaryota, Metazoa, Chordata, Actinopteri, Scombriformes, Scombridae. The transcript is spliced from 2 exons.